GGGGAAUAUUGCACAAUGGGGGAAACCCUGAUGCAGCGACGCCGCGUGGAGGAAGAAGGUCUUCGGAUUGUAAACUCCUGUUGUUGGGGAAGAUAAUGACGGUACCCAACAAGGAAGUGACGGCUAACUACGUGCCAGCAGCCGCGGUAAAACGUAGGUCACAAGCGUUGUCCGGAAUUACUGGGUGUAAAGGGAGCGCAGGCGGGAAGACAAGUUGGAAGUGAAAUCUAUGGGCUCAACCCAUAAACUGCUUUCAAAACUGUUUUUCUUGAGUAGUGCAGAGGUAGGCGGAAUUCCCGGUGUAGCGGUGGAAUGCGUAGAUAUCGGGAGGAACACCAGUGGCGAAGGCGGCCUACUGGGCACCAACUGACGUUGAGGCUCGAAAGUGUGGGUAGCAAACAGGAUUAGAUACCCUGGUAGUCCACACCGUAAACGAUGAUUACUAGGUGUUGGAGGAUUGACCCCUUCAGUGCCGCAGUUAACACAAUAAGUAAUCCACCUGGGGAGUACGACCGCAAGGUUGAAACUCAAAGGAAUUGACGGGGGCCCGCACAAGCAGUGGAGUAUGUGGUUUAAUUCGACGCAACGCGAAGAACCUUACCAAGUCUUGACAUCCCUUGACGAUGCUGGAAACAGUAUUUCUCUUCGGAGCAAGGAGACAGGUGGUGCAUGGUUGUCGUCAGCUCGUGUCGUGAGAUGUUGGGUUAAGUCCCGCAACGAGCGCAACCCUUAUGGUCAGUUACUACGCAAGAGGACUCUGGCCAGACUGCCGUUGACAAAACGGAGGAAGGUGGGGAUGACGUCAAAUCAUCAUGCCCUUUAUGACUUGGGCUACACACGUACUACAAUGGCGUUAAACAAAGAGAAGCAAGACCGCGAGGUGGAGCAAAACUCAGAAACAACGUCCCAGUUCGGACUGCAGGCUGCAACUCGCCUGCACGAAGUCGGAAUUGCUAGUAAUCGUGGAUCAGCAUGCCACGGUGAAUACGUUCCCG
RNAcentral lists this ribosomal RNA (995 nucleotides) under uncultured bacterium. RNAcentral describes it as "bacterial SSU rRNA". It matches the Rfam family "Bacterial small subunit ribosomal RNA", at positions 356 to 1376 of the family's 1533-position model. RNAcentral also lists the same sequence under 1 other name. The record is from RNAcentral.